RNAcentral lists this ribosomal RNA (468 nucleotides) under uncultured bacterium. RNAcentral describes it as "partial 16S ribosomal RNA". It matches the Rfam family "Bacterial small subunit ribosomal RNA", at positions 28 to 507 of the family's 1533-position model. The record is from RNAcentral.
GACGAACGCUGGCGGCGUGCUUAACACAUGCAAGUCGAACGGAAAGGCCCUGCUUUUGUGGGGUGCUCGAGUGGCGAACGGGUGAGUAACACGUGAGUAACCUGCCCUUGACUUUGGGAUAACUUCAGGAAACUGGGGCUAAUACCGGAUAGGAGCUCCUGCUGCAUGGUGGGGGUUGGAAAGUUUCGGCGGUUGGGGAUGGACUCGCGGCUUAUCAGCUUGUUGGUGGGGUAGUGGCUUACCAAGGCUUUGACGGGUAGCCGGCCUGAGAGGGUGACCGGCCACAUUGGGACUGAGAUACGGCGCAGACUCUUACGGGAGGCAGCAGUGGGGAAUAUUGCACAAUGGGCGGAAGCCUGAUGCAGCAACGCCGCGUGCGGGAUGACGGCCUUCGGGUUGUAAACCGCUUUCGCCUGUGACGAAGCGUGAGUGACGGUAAUGGGUAAAGAAGCACCGGCUAACUACGUG